GAGAUGGCGUGCAGGAAGCCGGGCAGCGGCUGGGAGCGCUUUCAUUUUCCUGGGGCUCUGCGUGUGUCUGAACAUCCUGGAGGGAGCCCUCUCAGGGAAGAGCUGCAGAGCCCCCGGCAGUGUGCAGCGCCGAUAAGGAGAUGAAACAAUGGCUGCAACACUGAGAGCCCCGCACAGUUACUUGCUGAGGAAUCCUUUGUCCUAUAGUGAGAGCUAACAGCCAGCAGGAAAACAAGAAGAACUUUUCAUGCAGCUUCAGUGAGUAUAUGUCUGUCGGUUCAUGGAGGUCAGGAGCUUGCCCUUAUGUGUCAGUCUGCGAGCAGGCUGGGGUUGUACAGAAUAAGCUGUGUGCUGUAACGGUGAGACAUGGACUUUGAAAAGACAAAUCAGCCAGCACUGACUUCUGACAGCCAGGAACAAGAAAGCCUGUUUUCACAGCAACCCCAGUGGGCACUUGGCUUCUCAAGUACAAAGCGCCUUCCAGCAGAGGCAUGUCGGUGUGUAGGGCGAACUUCGGAAAUGUGUUUUACAGAAAGAAGAUUCUGCUGUACAAUAAGAUGCCAAAACGA
Molecule: long non-coding RNA, 569 nt
Organism: Cygnus olor (mute swan)
Lineage: Eukaryota; Metazoa; Chordata; Aves; Anseriformes; Anatidae
Exons: 3
Source: RefSeq, a predicted model, not a curated record